CAGGGGCAAAGGCCUGUGAGCCAUCAGCUGAGAACUCCUCAUCAGAUUUGUCCAGGGGUCCUUUCAAGAAAAGAACAGUCUCUCAGGGAAUUUCCUCCCAAUUCCGCUGGCUCCAUCCAAACACCAUCAAGAAAGGAGCAAAAUAAAGAUAAAUGAGGCCAGAAUAUUUUAAAUAGUGGGGAGGACAAGAGGACGAAGAAAUGCACUCCAGAAUUGUGGAUUUGGAAGACUGGGGGAGAAAGAGCAGAGUCAAGAACCUCGACAAAAUCCGAUAAGGACAGACUGAGGAAGAAUCAAGACGGAGAGCCUCCUAAUUCCAUCAGUCCAAGGCAGAGUGUCAGUCACCUCCCUGUGGAUAAGAACCUGAUAUGCAGCACAUGGAGAUGAUGGAGGCCCGCUGCCGUCAGUCCUGGGAAAUGUGCUCAGCUACUGGUCCAGUUCGCUUCUCAGCCCCGUUCAUGGCUUGCUCCCAUCAUUGAUUGUCCUGUAAACUGUGGUCAGUUCUCUGCCCCGCCCUGAGAAUGGCCCUCUCUGAGAAUCUUCUUUAUUUUUAACUAAGUUUUGCAACUAUGGUGCAUUUUUUUGGUCAUUCAGAGGGAAGAAAAUUUUAAUGCCUGCCACAUGCUAUGAACUGUAGCAAUUUUACAUCACAAGGUAACUUCCUAUCCUACUAUAAAUAGUGUUGGGCUCUCAUGACUAGAUACA
This 705-nucleotide long non-coding RNA is filed under the name Dasypus novemcinctus (nine-banded armadillo). Its description in RNAcentral is "lncRNA (ENSDNOG00000051689.1)". Lineage: Eukaryota; Metazoa; Chordata; Mammalia; Cingulata; Dasypodidae. The record is from RNAcentral.